GUAGUUGCAAAGGCAUCAGCCUUAUUUCAACAAAUAAGUCUGUCACUAUGCAUUAGAUGUUAAAUAUAUCAGAAAAUAUCAACAGGACACCAUACUACAAAGCUGAAUGUACAAAACCAAGUUGCCUGAUUCAACAGACAAGGUUUCUACUUAAUUCUGGCUCCAUAACUCAUUGAGACAAUAAAAC
Molecule: long non-coding RNA, 187 nt
Filed under: Chinchilla lanigera (long-tailed chinchilla)
Lineage: Eukaryota; Metazoa; Chordata; Mammalia; Rodentia; Chinchillidae
Description: lncRNA (ENSCLAG00000022862.1)
Source: RNAcentral